Molecule: ribosomal RNA, 497 nt
Filed under: uncultured bacterium
Lineage: Bacteria
Description: partial 16S ribosomal RNA
Rfam family: Bacterial small subunit ribosomal RNA
Source: RNAcentral
GAUGAACGCUGGCGGCGUGCCUAAUACAUGCAAGUCGAGCGGACGGACGAGAAGCUUGCUUUUCUGAUGUUAGCGGCGGACGGGUGAGUAACACGUGGAUAACCUACCUAUAAGACUGGGAUAACUUCGGGAAACCGGAUCUAAUACCAGAUAAUAUUUUGAACCGCAUGGUUCAUAAGUGAAAGACGGUCUUUCUGUCACUUAUAGCUGGAUCCGCGCUGCAUUAGCUAGUUGGUAAGGUAACGGCUUACCAAGGCAACGAUGCAUAGCCGACCUGAGAGGGGGGUCGGCCACACUGGAAGUGAGACAGGGUCCAGACUCCUGCGGGAGGCAGCAGUAGGGAAUCUUCCGCAAUGGGCGAGAGCCUGACGGAGCAACGCCGCGUGAGUGAUGAAGGUCUUCGGAUCGUAAAACUCUGUUAUUAGGGGAGAACAUAUGUGUAAGUAACUGUGCACAUCUUGACGGUACCUAAUCAGAAAGCCACGGCUAACUACGUG